CCUACGGGAGGCAGCAGUGGGGAAUAUUGCGCAAUGGGCGAAAGCCUGACGCAGCGACGCCGCGUGAGGGAUGAAGGUCUUCGGAUCGUAAACCUCUGUCAGCAGGGAAGAACGGUCACUGUGCUAAUCAGCAGUGAAUUGACGGUACCUGCAAAGGAAGCACCGGCUAACUCCGUGCCAGCAGCCGCGGUAAUACGGAGGGUGCGAGCGUUAUUCGGAAUUACUGGGCGUAAAGCGCUCGUAGGCGGUAUGUCAAGUCAAGGGUGAAAUCCCCGCGCUCAACGUGGGAACUACCUUUGAAACUGGCAAACUGGAGUGUGUGAGAGGAUAGUGGAAUUCCAGGUGUAGGAGUGAAAGCCGUAGAUAUCUGGAGGAACAUCAGUGGCGAAGGCGACUAUCUGGCACAUAACUGACGCUGAGGAGCGAAAGCGUGGGUAGCAAACAGGAUUAGAUACCCUGGUAGUC
RNAcentral lists this ribosomal RNA (465 nucleotides) under uncultured bacterium. RNAcentral describes it as "partial 16S ribosomal RNA". It matches the Rfam family "Bacterial small subunit ribosomal RNA", at positions 338 to 795 of the family's 1533-position model. The record is from RNAcentral.